This 328-nucleotide ribosomal RNA is filed under the name uncultured eukaryote. Its description in RNAcentral is "partial 18S ribosomal RNA". It matches the Rfam family "Eukaryotic small subunit ribosomal RNA", at positions 1470 to 1796 of the family's 1831-position model. The record is from RNAcentral.
CCCUUAGAUGUCCUGGGCCGCACGCGCGUUACACUGAUGCAUUCAACGAGCUUAUAACCUUGGCCGAGAGGCCUGGGCAAUCUUGUUAACGUGCAUCGUGAUAGGGAUAGAUUAUUGAAAUUAUUAAUCUUGAACGAGGAAUUCCUAGUAAACGCAGUUCAUCAAUCUGCAUUGAUUACGUCCCUGCCCUUUGUACACACCGCCCGUCGCACCUACCGAUUGGAUGGUCCGGUGAAGCCUCGGGAUUGUGGUUCUUGCCGCUUUAUUGUGGCGUGACCGCGAGAACUUGUCUAAACCUUAUCAUCUAGAGGAAGGUGAAGUCGUAACA